This 2106-nucleotide unclassified non-coding RNA is filed under the name Hevea brasiliensis (rubber tree). Lineage: Eukaryota; Viridiplantae; Streptophyta; Magnoliopsida; Malpighiales; Euphorbiaceae. The record is from RNAcentral.
UCACCUCCCAUCGCCGGCACGCUGACCCACCAGUUCAGAGCUGAGUCGAGCAAGUGAGCAACAGUCGCGGUUAUCAACCUGAAUCCGAGUACAGUUUCUUUCCUUCUCAUCAAUUUCUUUCCUCUCUCUCAUUCAUGCACUUAUGUUACUGUCAAUUUCAGCCAAGCAUCGAGCUUAUGUUCAGUGCUAAAACUUUUUUCUUGCUUUAUUUCAAAUCAUUUUUUUAUGACUAUUAGACUAGAUUUUUAAUUUUCAAAUGUGUAUUUCUGUGUAAAUAUUCAGUUCAGUUCAUUAUUUGUUUAUGUCUGUAGCGUAAUUAUAUUUAGAAAUGAUGAUUGUAUGCAUUUCUAUGGUGAUCCAUUUGGUGUAUUUAUAUAUUAGUGUGUUAUAGUUUAGUUAUAAUUAGAAAAAUGAAUGAUUAUUUGAUUUUAUGGUCUUUAUGUCUUUUGACCUUUUAUAUGAAUAUUUUUUUGUCCUAUUAUGGGUUCAGGUAUCCAACCCAUUUGUGUUGAGCUUAAAUAAAUUUAUUGGAAAAAAAAAAGGAAAAAGAAAAAGCAAAAGAUAAGAAAAUAAGAGGGUUUGAGUAGUAUGUGGGUAGUAUUAAUCAGAUUUGUAAUGGGUAUGGAUCUCAAAGGGUGAUUUCUAGUUAGGUUUGGGACAGAUUUAGAUAGUAGGGGUUUCAACAAAUUUGGAUGGCUUAAAUUUCGCAAGUAUGCUACCCACUGACUGCAGUACUUGUGGAUGGGGAUUGAGGAAUUCUAUAGUGCAGUGGAUGGGUUUUAUCAUUAGUGUCAAUUUGAUUUUAUCUAUUAUCUCUUUGUAUAUUUUCAUUACCUGUUUCAUGUAUUUAUAGCUUGUUCUUCUUUUGCUCUCUUUCUUUCUAUGUAACAACUAUCAUCUGUAUUGGCUUCCAUACAACAGUUUUUUGGAAUUGUACAAAUCAUCUGACAAGAUUCGAUGCUGGUGGAGAGAGCAAAAUUAAUUUUCUUUUGUUUAUUAUCUUGAAAUUUAAGUGUUGCUUGGACAGACACUCAGUAGUGAAGUUGAAUGGCGAUGGAUUUCAACAAUAGUGAGAUCUCAUCUCCUUCUCAUCCUAGAUGGAGAAAAGUGGCAUAUGGAGGGAUGCAACCUGGUUUUGAUGACAAUCACACUGAUGAUUCUUUUCUUGAAGAUCUGGUUAUGAAUGCUAGCGUUGUUAAACGGGACCUGCUGAAGGUGAUGCAAGACUCGGUUUCCAUCUCUCAGUAUCUGUGCAUUGUUGCACUCGUCGGCUUGGUUUGGACCUACACCCUGCAAUCUAUCCUUAGUGAAAAUUCCCUCUUACUUCUUGAUGUGAGCCUUCUUGGAUCAGGUUUCAUUGUUCUGCUUUUAACCAAAGAAAUGCUUUCUCUCAAUCUUCUUUUCCAUUAUAUCCUCAAUGUCUCUUUUUUUACAACGGGGUUAUAUGUGUUGGCUCCUAUUUAUCAUACUCUCACAAGGUCCAUAAGUUCAGAUUCCAUCUGGGCUGUAACUGUUUCACUUAUAGUACUUCAUCUUUUCCUGCAUGACUAUUCAGGAUCGACAAUAAGAGCUCCUGGGGCUCUAAAAAGUCCAAACUUGACUAGUUGUGUCUCUUUAAAUGCUUCUGUUGUUGCCUCUGUUUUUAUUGCAUCUCGCCUUCCAUCAAGGCUACAUGUCUUUGCCAUAAUGUUGUUUUCCUUGCAAGUCUUUCUUUUUGCUCCGUUUGUUACUUACUGCAUAAAGAAAUACUCCUUCCACUUUCAUCUUGUGUUUUCUUUUGGGUUGAUGGUUGUUACCUUGGCUUUUGUUUAUAUGUUGCACGAGUUGCUUUUUGUGUUGUUGUUGGCUAUAAUUAUCUUUGUAAGUGUGGUGUGUCCGUAUUGGCUCAUUAAAAUUCAGGAAUACAAGUUUGAGAUAAAUGGUCCUUGGGAUGAGGCUAAACUUUGUUUUGAUAUAACCGAUUAAGAUUCUUUUGGAUGCUAAAUAAAAAUCAAUGAAGUAUAUAAUUAUUUGUGGAAAUUUUCUAUUUCUUUUUCUUUCCUUUUAAUGUUCUUGUUUGAUGUAGUUUAAUGUUUAAUUUUCACAUAUAAAAUUUACCUGUGUUAU